GGAAUAUUGGACAAUGGGGGCAACCCUGACCGAGCGACGCCGCGUGCGGGAUGAAGGCCCUCGGGUCGUAAACCGCUGUCAGGAGGGAAGAAUCCUUCCGGGUCAAUACCCUGGAAGUUGACGGUACCUCCAGAGGACGCUCCGGCUAACUCAGUGCCAGCAGCCGCGGUAAUACGGAGGGAGCGAACGUUGUUCGGAUUUACUGGGCGUAAAGGGCGUGUAGGCGGUUCAGCAAGUCAGGGGUGAAAUGUCUCGGCUCAACCGGGAACCUGCCUCUGAAACUGCUGGGCUAGAGGUCGUGAGGGGAGACUGGAAUUCCUAGUGUAGCGGUGAAAUGCAUAGAUAUUAGGAAGAACACCAGUGGCGAAGGCGAGUCUCUGGCACGAUUCUGACGCUGAGGCGCGAAAGCUAGGGGAGCGAAC
RNAcentral lists this ribosomal RNA (422 nucleotides) under uncultured bacterium. Its description in RNAcentral is "bacterial SSU rRNA". It matches the Rfam family "Bacterial small subunit ribosomal RNA", at positions 358 to 773 of the family's 1533-position model. The record is from RNAcentral.